This 1595-nucleotide long non-coding RNA is filed under the name Vitis vinifera (wine grape). RNAcentral describes it as "long non-coding RNA (VVIN_LNC007734)". Lineage: Eukaryota; Viridiplantae; Streptophyta; Magnoliopsida; Vitales; Vitaceae. The record is from RNAcentral.
UGCAUGUUGUCAAUUGUCAUCAGAUAAAAAUGAUUAAGAGAUUAAACACCCAAAAAAAAAAAAAAACCCAGCUCUUGCCUUUUGGCACUACUCUUCCAGGUUUGAGUUUCAAUAAGCUCUUAGACUACAAGGAUCACAAUAGACAUUUACUGGUCAUCUUGGACAAUCAACAGUAAGGGAAGGGUGCAGUGGUGCCACCAAAACCAGCACAACCAGAAUCUUUUGCAAUCAACAACACAUAAUGGGUUCUAAGAGGACAGUUCCUCACUUGGAUCAAGAAAAAGGUACUGUGGAAUACAUUAAAUCUCCAAUUUAAAGAUCCCAUGGUUAAGAAGAUUGUGAAGUUUUGGCAUAUCGUGAACAGUAGUUUACUUUACAAUGAAUGCAAACCUCUUAACCCUUGGUUGAGGAAGUAAAAUGCCUAUAAUCACCUAAAAGCUCUACCUUUUAAGAGUAUCACAAUAACACUGUGAUACCAAUUCCACCCAAAUCAAAGCCCUGUGAUCUGAAAAUGUGAAUAAGGCCUUACAAGUUUGAAGCUGUGUGAUAAGGUCAUCACAUGGUUGCAUGGGCACUUGAAGUUGUUUAGCUUGAUGAAUGAGCUUGUAUCUGGCAGAUGGUGGUUUCUUCGAAGGGGUGAAGUGACACCUGUAGGCAUAGAAUAUUUGGCACCUAGCAUCUAAGUGACACAAGGACACUCGAGUUGGGCAUCCAAGUAGGUUAGUGCCUAAAAGCUGAAAGGCUGAGCAAGGAAAAUGCUAAGCAUGUUCCUAUAAAAAAAAAAAUGCUAAGCAUGUGAAAUUAGGCAUAUUGGUCAACGCAUGAUUGUCAUCAUCUUAUUUAGUUUAUAAAGUAUUUUUAUAUGACAAAAUAAAACAUAGAAUAAUAUUUCUGAAAUAACAAAAUUAUAUGAGCAGAAAAAUUCAGACCUUGUCAGCAUCAUAUUUUACUAUUAUAUAUGAUACUUAGAGCUUCAAAUACUAGGAUUUCAUCUGGUUAUUAUGAAAAAAAAUGCACAUGUUUGAUGAGGUACUAGUUUAACAAAUUAGCCUUUCAAUAGUCUCUUUUGCCUUUUUUCAGCAAUAUUAUUACGGGAAUCGUUGAGGGCUUCCAUGUUGUCUAUAUUUUCCAGAAUUUAUCGGGCUUCAGAAACUUAUGGCAGAAAACUAAUGAUGGUAUGAGAUGAUAUCUAAACAUCACAAGAUAUUUUCACUUAAAAGAUUCAACCAACAUGCCUGUUUCACACUAUUUUGUUGCCUUUGUAAUUUUUUGUACUCAAAAUUGCAAUUUUAUAUGUUUGAUUAACAUUUAUUUUAUUAGCUUUGUAAUUUUUGAAUUCAAUUGCAUUUUUAUGCAUAGGAAAAGAAAAGGGGCACAGAAAACUCCAACAGUUGACCCCCUAACAGACCUUUAAAACCAAUAUGAAUCCAACAAACUUAAAAACACAUUUUUCCAGCAUCUCAACAUGAAACUUCUAGUUUCACUUUGCUUUGAGUUAAUAGCUAACUGCUCACCCCUUGUGGCAACUAAAAACCAAGACCAUCCUAAUGAAUAUAUAUACUACAUUCUCCAAGUUUCUGGGAAGAAAUCUGUAN